CUAGCGACUUCAGAGUUUGAUCCUGGCUCAGGACGAACGCUGGCGGCGUGCCUAACACAUGCAAGUCGAACGGGGCUAAUAUGGAAGAUCCUUCGGGGUUGGAAGUAUUAGCUUAGUGGCGAACGGGUGAGUAACGCGUGAGGAACCUGCCUUCCAGUGGGGGACAACAGUUGGAAACGACUGCUAAUACCGCAUAACAUUUCGAGACCGCAUGGUUUUGAAAUCAAAGCUUUAUGUGCUGGAAGAUGGCCUCGCGUCUGAUUAGCUAGUUGGUGGGGUAACGGCUCACCAAGGCGACGAUCAGUAGCCGGUCUGAGAGGAUGAACGGCCACAUUGGGACUGAGAUACGGCCCAG
Molecule: ribosomal RNA, 355 nt
Filed under: uncultured bacterium
Lineage: Bacteria
Description: bacterial SSU rRNA
Rfam family: Bacterial small subunit ribosomal RNA
Source: RNAcentral